GAGAGAUUCAUCGUCAUUCCGCGGCGUACGGGCUGCGCGCUUCGAUGUCGUCGACCUCGGUCGUCAGGCACGACGCGCGUCCGUCGACGUCCGCGGACGGCGUGCACUUCUCUCUUAGUAAAUACAUCGCGACCCGUUCGAUGUCGGUCUAAGCGCCGUUCGGGAGCCCCAUGGUCCCUUAACGGGGACUGUGGGACCGCGACGGUGGCCGACCGGCCGUCGGACGGUAGUUCUGACGAAACGCGCACGCGUUUACAACGCGUCCGGCCCGACGCAAGUCAACGUCGUAUCCAACGUACCGCCUUAGCGCGGACGUAGGUGCGGCGCGUCUGUUGUUGCAGCCGUGCAGUCUCGGAC
This 357-nucleotide ribosomal RNA is filed under the name Elysius sp. discoplagaDHJ01. Its description in RNAcentral is "partial 28S ribosomal RNA". The record is from RNAcentral. Lineage: Eukaryota; Metazoa; Arthropoda; Insecta; Lepidoptera; Erebidae.